This 465-nucleotide ribosomal RNA is filed under the name uncultured bacterium. RNAcentral's name for it is "partial 16S ribosomal RNA". It matches the Rfam family "Bacterial small subunit ribosomal RNA", at positions 338 to 795 of the family's 1533-position model. The record is from RNAcentral.
CCUACGGGUGGCUGCAGUGGGGAAUAUUGCGCAAUGGGCGAAAGCCUGACGCAGCGACGCCGCGUGAGGGAUGAAGGACUUCGGAUCGUAAACCUCUGUCAGCAGGGAAGAACGGUCACUUACCUAAUCAGCAGUGAAUUGCCGGUACCUGCAAAGGAAGCACCGUCUAACUCCGUGCCAGCAGCCGCGGUAAGACGGAGGGUGCGAGCGUUAAUCGGAAUUACUGGGCGUAAAGCGCUCGUAGGCGGUAUGUCAAGUACAGGGUGAAAUCCCCGGGCUCAACGUGGGAACUGCCUUUGAAACUGGCAGGCUGGAGUGUGUGAGAGGAAAGUGGAAUUCCAGGUGUAGGAGUGAAAUGCGUAGAUAUCAGGAGGAACAUCAGUGGCGAAGGCGACUUUCUGGCACAUAACUGACGCUGAGGAGCGAAAGCGUGGGUAGCAAACAGGAUUAGAUACCCCUGUAGUC